Marmota monax (woodchuck) is the source of this 1300-nucleotide long non-coding RNA. RefSeq lists it as uncharacterized. The transcript has 3 exons. The record is from RefSeq and is a predicted model, not a curated record. NCBI's taxonomy places the organism in Eukaryota, Metazoa, Chordata, Mammalia, Rodentia, Sciuridae.
UCUAGUGGGCGGGGCAGGUGGGAGCUUCGCUUUCCGGCUGGGCUGCACUGUACUUGGAGGGGUGGUGGGUUCUGGUCCAGGUGAAAAGCGCGCAUAUUCCCUGAAGCCCUUCUCUUGCCCCUAAGAAAGCGUGUCUAAAGGCCUGUGUGUGGGGCUCGCCUGGGUCUCUUCCGGACCGUCGAGCCCAGCUCACUGGCUUCGGCUCCUGUCUCAUCCUGUUCCCAGUUCACAGCUCACCGAUUUUGAGAAGCUGAUGUCUCUUCCAGCUGGAACCUUGGACCCCUACAUUUACCCCAGAGGAGACAGACAUUGAUGGCUGCUGAGAGCGGAGCCUUUAAUGAAAGAUUAGUUGCAGGCCUGGACUGCUACUCUUGCGCCCUUGGUGUGUAUUGAGGGAGGUGGGCAAUGGUGAGAAUGUGGACAGGGAUAAGUGGGGUGAGGUGAAAGCAGGUGAAGGGGCGGGCCCGGCAGGGGGAGGGGAAGGGCGCUGCCCACUGGGCUGUCUGCUCAACUGUUCUCCCAGAAGAAGUUGUUACAGGCCACUGUGAGAGCAGCCACCAGCACCACAUACUCCUGGAAGUCCACCUCCCCGUCUCCAUUCUCAUCGAGCUCCUUCAUCACCUUGUCCACAGCAUCUGCAUCCUUCUGGGCCUGUGGAGGAAGAAGAGGGAGAGGAGGUGUGCAUCACUGAGUCGGGGCAGGAGGUGGUCGAGGAGAGCAAGGCAGACGUGAGCAAGAGGUCAGACAGCCUCUAAUCAUGGGACCUUCUGCUUUCCACCCAAGAAGGCUCAUGGGCUCCUGUUGCCUUCAGAAGAAACGCCUUAACUGGAAGAGUUAAUGAUAACGUCAAUCACCAUAAGCUAAUUGUCUACAGUGUGACAAGCACUACACUAGGAGCCUUCCAGGCACUGUCUAGUUUAAUUCUAAUAUAAGCAGUAUGGGGUUCUUUUUAUUAAUUCCAUUCUGAAGAAGAAACAUGGAUGAUUUUUGUUAAAUAAAUGUGCCCAAAGUCACACAAAAAGCGGCAGGGCUGACAUUAGGUGUGGUGAUGCACACCUGUCAUCCCAGCAGCUCAGGAGACUGAGGAUCCCAAGUUUGAGGCCAGCCUCAGCAAUUUAACAAGGCCCCUAUACAACUUAGUGAGACCCUGUCUCAAAAAGUAAAAAGGGGGGCUGGGGAUGUGGCUCAAGCGGUAGCGUGCUCGCCUGGCAUGCGUGCGGCCCGGGUUCGAUCCUCAGCACCACAUACAAACAAAGAUGUUGUGUCCGCCGAUAACUGAAAAAUAAAUAUUAAAAUUCUC